Molecule: non-coding RNA, 134 nt
Organism: Triticum aestivum (bread wheat)
Lineage: Eukaryota; Viridiplantae; Streptophyta; Magnoliopsida; Poales; Poaceae
Source: Rfam
UACAUACUCCCUCCGUUCCGAAUUACUUGUCUUAGAUUUGUCUAGAUACCGAGGUAUCUACACUAAAAUGAGUCUAGAUACAUCCGUAUCUAGACAAAUUCAAGACAAGUAAUUCGGAACGGAGGGAGUACAUA